AUGCCCAAGUCCCUGAGGAGCCCGUCCCAGUGCCAGCCACCUCUGGCGGCCACCCCUCCUGACACAGCCCGGCCUCCCGCAGCCGGUCACGGAGGAGCUGCAGGAGGGCCGGGAUCCCCGUGUGCGCUUCCGCAGGCGCCUCCUCCUCCCCGGGCCGAGCCAGGCCGACUCCAACCCGCCUGUCUUGUCAUCGCCCCGGCGCCCAGGAGAAGCCAACCGCGCGCAGCACCCGGCCGGCUCCCCACGGGCGGUGCCGAUCCAGGCCACGCUCACGCCAGCUCUGCCAAACCGCCCCUUCCCCGGCUCCCUCUUCCCGCAGCCCAUCUCCUUCGAUCUCUCUCUUCUCUCCCAGUUUUUCCCUACCCCCAGAGGCCACCUGCACCCCACUCACCUGAGGGACACCCGUGCUCCACUCCUGUCCCCAGCCCCUCCCAGCCCCUCCUUCCCACGCCUCUCGGGCCCUGCCCUCCUCCCUGCUCCUCCCAGUCAAGCUUUACCAGGCUUGUGUGGCACCGGGGACUCCCUUUUCCCUCUCCUCUGGGGCCUCUGUCUGUUUUUCCAGCCCUAGCACCUCUCUCAGUGUAUUGUCCUGGCUCUCCUCGUUCACCAGCCGUACCGCCUGGCAGUGCCUCAUGGGGACUCGACGUAGCUCCCAACUCCUUCGCCUCCCGUUCCUCCUGCAGCCCCAACGCCGCCUCACUGACCUCCUCCUCUCCCAGCACUUGCUCCUCGGAGCCCUGCGCCCUUCCCGCCGCGCUUCCCCCUGCCUGCGACAAGCCCUGUGCUGCCUCGCCCCCCGUUUUCUCCAGCGAUCCACCCGCACGUCGCCUGAAGAGUUGGUUUAUUGCUGCGUGGCUCCAUCCUGCCACCGGACAAGAGCACAAAACGCGCUUUGCCACGCUCUUCCCGUCCCGGUUGGGCAGGGGAACACCUGGGAGCAGCUCUCCCCACCGCCUCGCGCAGCCCAAGCGCCGCGGGUCCUCGCCGCGCCAGGAGAAGCCCGGGGAAAGGAGCUCGCUGGCACGCGGCGAGCGCUCCCCCUCCGCUCCGGGUUCCCAAACACCCGCCGGCUCCCCAGCUACCUGCCCGCCCCGAACCUGCCCCGCCGUGUCUCCGCGGCGCGGGCCGGGCGGCCAAACCAUUCCUUCCCAGUGA
This 1155-nucleotide long non-coding RNA is filed under the name Anser brachyrhynchus (Pink-footed goose). RNAcentral's name for it is "lncRNA (ENSABRG00000006078.1)". The record is from RNAcentral. Lineage: Eukaryota; Metazoa; Chordata; Aves; Anseriformes; Anatidae.